CAGUCGCCGCGGUAAUACGGAGGGUGCGAGCGUUAAUCGGAUUUACUGGGCGUAAAGCGUGCGUAGGCGGCUUCUUAAGUCGGAUGUGAAAUCCCUGAGCUUAACUUAGGAAUUGCAUUCGAUACUGGGAAGCUAGAGUAUGGGAGAGGAUGGUAGAAUUCCAGGUGUAGCGGUGAAAUGCGUAGAGAUCUGGAGGAAUACCGAUGGCGAAGGCAGCCAUCUGGCCUAAUACUGACGCUGAGGUACGAAAGCAUGGGGAGCAAACAGGAUUAGAUACCCCCGUAGUCCCUGUCUCUUAUAC
RNAcentral lists this ribosomal RNA (301 nucleotides) under uncultured bacterium. RNAcentral describes it as "partial 16S ribosomal RNA". It matches the Rfam family "Bacterial small subunit ribosomal RNA", at positions 509 to 807 of the family's 1533-position model. The record is from RNAcentral.